Molecule: ribosomal RNA, 480 nt
Filed under: uncultured Peptococcaceae bacterium
Lineage: Bacteria; Bacillati; Bacillota; Clostridia; Eubacteriales; Peptococcaceae
Description: bacterial SSU rRNA
Rfam family: Bacterial small subunit ribosomal RNA
Source: RNAcentral
AAACUCAAAUGAAUUGACGGGGCCCGCACAAGCGGUGGAGCAUGUGGUUUAAUUCGAAGCAACGCGAAGAACCUUACCAGGUCUUGACAUCCCCUGACAACCGAGAGAUCGGGCGUUCCCCGUUCGGGGGACAGGGUGACAGGUGGUGCAUGGUUGUCGUCAGCUCGUGUCGUGAGAUGUUGGGUUAAGUCCCGCAACGAGCGCAACCCUUGCCAUUAGUUGCUACGAAAGGGCACUCUAAUGGGACUGCCGGUGACAAACCGGAGGAAGGUGGGGAUGACGUCAAGUCCUCAUGGCCCUUAUAGGUGGGGCUACACACGUCAUACAAUGGCCGGUACAGAGGGUAGCCAACCCGCGAGGGGGAGCCAAUCCCACAAAGCCGGUCGUAGUCCGGAUCGCAGUCUGCAACUCGACUGCGUGAAGUCGGAAUCGCUAGUAAUCGCGGAUCAGCAUGUCGCGGUGAAUACGUUCCCGGGUCUU